AGUGAACGCUGGCGGUAGGCCUAACACAUGCCAGUCGAACGGCCGCACAGUAAGAGCUUGCUCUUACGGGUGGCGAGUGGCGGACGGGUGAGGCAUACAUCGGAAUCUACUUUUUCUUGGGUGAUAACGUAGGGAAACUUCCGCUAAUACCGCAUACGACCUACGGGUGAAAUCAGGGGAUCUUCGCACCUUUCCCGUUUCAAUUAGCCGAUGUCGGAUUAGCUAGUUGGCGGGGUAAAGGCCCACCAAGGCGACGAUCCGUAGCUGGUCUGAGAGGAUGAUCAGCCACACUGGAACUGAGACACGGUCCAGACUCCUACGGGAGGCAGCAGUGGGGAAUAUUGGACAAUGGGCGCAAGCCUGAUCCAGCAAUACCGCGUGGGUGAAGAAGGCCUUCGGGUUGUAAAGCCCUUUUGUUGGGAAAGAAAAGAAGCAGGUGAAUACCCCGCUGUUCUGACGGUACCCAAAGAAUAAGCAACGGCUAACUUCGUG
Molecule: ribosomal RNA, 492 nt
Filed under: uncultured bacterium
Lineage: Bacteria
Description: partial 16S ribosomal RNA
Rfam family: Bacterial small subunit ribosomal RNA
Source: RNAcentral